RNAcentral lists this long non-coding RNA (1043 nucleotides) under Cricetulus griseus (Chinese hamster). Its description in RNAcentral is "lncRNA (ENSCGRG00000024243.1)". The record is from RNAcentral. Lineage: Eukaryota; Metazoa; Chordata; Mammalia; Rodentia; Cricetidae.
CUGCAUUGAAGCCACCAUUUAAAAUCUUUACUGAUGUGUGCAUUUUUAAUAAAACAACCAAAAAAUUACACAAAGUCAUAGUUAUUUAAAACACAGGACUUUAAAAAAUGAUGUCUAUAAAAAUACAAUGUUUAAGGCAGUUUGGAAAUGCAUUUAUACAUUUCUACAAUGUCCAUAAAUUCUCUUGAAAAUAAGAACGUUACUUCAAAUCUGUAAAAUACACUGUACAUAUUUUUUAGACUGUUCUACACAGGGCACACUUCAAAACAGGCUUUCAGGAGUGGGUUCCUGGUGACCAAUGUGUCCUAUACAUUUCUUGGAUGGGGGUGAUGCAACAUUGGUGCAGAUUUAAACCUUUUAAUUUCUUUUUAAAAAUAAAUUAUUUCUGACGCAUACAAUUUAUAAAAAAUUCUAUAUACAAAGUACAGCAACUGGUAAGAAACCCCAGUUUUAAUACAGUUUAUAUACGACGUACCAGGGUAGAAGACCCCGAUAGGGGCAGAGGCAAUAUUCAAUCUCUGCAUAUUCAAACUUAGAAUUUCUUGGUGUUAAAAAAACCCCAAACAAACAAACAAACAAAAAACCCAAAACCAAACCAAACCAAAACAGAAAAAGGACAACGAAACAAACACCACACAGAAGUUUUCCUAGAUGGCAGUACGGAGCUUUAAGAUAAAAAGUUGCAUUGUUCAACACCAUGGUAAUAGGCCAGGUUUUUGGACCCUUAAUUCUAAGACACGUGGUGCUCAGAGAUCAGAAUAGUGGCAGCGAAACCGAAGGUGAGGUUAAGGUUAUAAUGCAGACAUGAUUCCGGGAACCCAGACAAGGCACUCGCCGGCUACACAAUCGGCGCGUUACCGUGUGCUACACCAAAAGUGCAGGAAUGAAUCGGGAAGGGUGUCUUGAGUUCCAGGGAUUCGAGCCAGCCGGUAGGACAGAUGGGUUAUCUUUGCAGCCUGGAAACCACAGUGGAGGGCCGCGCAUGGUGGCUGGGGUAUGUGCUGGGCCCUGUCCACCCUGGAAGAGUGUGGGUCAGUGUUCCA